RNAcentral lists this microRNA (22 nucleotides) under Canis lupus familiaris (dog). RNAcentral describes it as "Cfa-Mir-1842-v1_5p (mature (guide))". The record is from RNAcentral. Lineage: Eukaryota; Metazoa; Chordata; Mammalia; Carnivora; Canidae.
UUGGCUCUGCGAGGUCAGCUCA